AUAAUUACAUCCUGGACUUCAAACCUAGAUAUCCUGUACAAGUUUGAAACUUUUGGGAGGAGUUGAGAGGAAUGAGAGUAUUUUACAUGUGGGAGAAAUAUAAAUAAUUUGUGGCCAGAUGGUGGACUGUGAUGAUUUAAAAUACAUCCACUGAUUAUUUAAUAUUCCUUUCAAAAGAUGGAACAUAAUUCCCCUCCACCUGAAUGUGGGCUGGAGUUAGUGACUCGUUUGUGGUAAAUAGAAUGUAGAAGUGAUUGUGUGUGAUGUCAGAGACUAGGUCAUGAAAGUGAUGGUGUCUUUCGGCUUGCUCUUACUCUUGGAUGAUCUGCUCUGGGGAUAGUUGUGAGUAGGCCUGCAGCCCACAGCCAUGUGAGUGAGCCUUUUGAAGAGUGGACCUUCCAGGCCCAGUCAAGCCUUCAGAUAGUGGGACUCUGUGCUCAUGCCAGUAA
This is a non-coding RNA of Macaca mulatta (Rhesus monkey), 449 nucleotides long. NCBI's taxonomy places the organism in Eukaryota, Metazoa, Chordata, Mammalia, Primates, Cercopithecidae. The record is from RefSeq and is a predicted model, not a curated record.